This 216-nucleotide unclassified non-coding RNA is filed under the name Hevea brasiliensis (rubber tree). The record is from RNAcentral. Lineage: Eukaryota; Viridiplantae; Streptophyta; Magnoliopsida; Malpighiales; Euphorbiaceae.
AAAUUUUUUAACAGCUGCCGGUUUUGAGAAGCAUCUUAAUUCUGCAACAAAUACAUAAUCAAGAUCCUCAACGCGCAAGUGAUCAUCACAAUUGUGAUAUAAAACUGCGUCAAGGUCGUCAUAUAUUCUAAGCCCUGGGCAUGCUUCCCGAUGAGGACGAGAAAAGGUUGUCACUUGAUAAUUAAGUGUAGCAGCAAAAUCGGCAGCUACACAAAG